RNAcentral lists this ribosomal RNA (696 nucleotides) under uncultured Actinomycetes bacterium. RNAcentral describes it as "bacterial SSU rRNA". It matches the Rfam family "Bacterial small subunit ribosomal RNA", at positions 65 to 770 of the family's 1533-position model. The record is from RNAcentral. Lineage: Bacteria; Bacillati; Actinomycetota; Actinomycetes.
CGCUGAAGCUUGGUGCUUGCACUGGGUGGAUGAGUGGCGAACGGGUGAGUAAUACGUGAGUAACCUGCCCUUGACUCUGGGAUAAGCCUGGGAAACUGGGUCUAAUACUGGAUAUGACAUGUCACCGCAUGGUGGUGUGUGGAAAGGGUUUUACUGGUUUUGGAUGGGCUCACGGCCUAUCAGCUUGUUGGUGGGGUAAUGGCUCACCAAGGCGACGACGGGUAGCCGGCCUGAGAGGGUGACCGGCCACACUGGGACUGAGACACGGCCCAGACUCCUACGGGAGGCAGCAGUGGGGAAUAUUGCACAAUGGGCGGAAGCCUGAUGCAGCGACGCCGCGUGAGGGAUGACGGCCUUCGGGUUGUAAACCUCUUUCAGCACGGAAGAAGCGAAAGUGACGGUACGUGCAGAAGAAGCGCCGGCUAACUACGUGCCAGCAGCCGCGGUAAUACGUAGGGCGCAAGCGUUGUCCGGAAUUAUUGGGCGUAAAGAGCUCGUAGGCGGUUUGUCGCGUCUGCUGUGAAAGCCCGGGGCUUAACCCCGGGUGUGCAGUGGGUACGGGCAGACUUGAGUGCAGUAGGGGAGACUGGAAUUCCUGGUGUAGCGGUGAAAUGCGCAGAUAUCAGGAGGAACACCGAUGGCGAAGGCAGGUCUCUGGGCUGUUACUGACGCUGAGGAGCGAAAGCAUGGGGAGCG